Non-coding RNA from Danio rerio (zebrafish), 980 nucleotides. NCBI's taxonomy places the organism in Eukaryota, Metazoa, Chordata, Actinopteri, Cypriniformes, Danionidae. The record is from RefSeq and is a predicted model, not a curated record.
UGAACACAUUAAUGCAUCACAUUAUUUACUAUUAAUACUAUUUACAUAUUACGCUUCAGCACAAAGUUGCCCUUUUAAAUGAGUAAGUUGACAAAUACGAUAUAUGUUAUAAUCUACAAGCGAGACUGGAGACGAAGCUUCCUUUUUAUUGAUGCUAUAUUUGGAUUGUCUGCUACAUCCUGGAAUAUACACAGAAUCGUCAUACAGACUUGGUUUCAAUCAACACAUGAAACACAAUAUGUGGAAACAGUUGUUGAGAGACAUGACUUUUUUUCUUUUUUUAAUUCCUUUUGUGUCAGGAACUUCUUCUUUCGUAAUGACUCAUGGCACAGUCCCACAGAAUAUCAUGCAUGCAACAAAGAGCUUCAACUUCUCCCAGUUUUCCCCCUCCUGUGUUAAGUAUGAUCAGAGUUUUAUUCAGGCGCUGCUCAAGGUCGGGGAAUGAUGGAAGCGGAUCCUCUGCAUCUUUCAACUCUGAGAGGAAAACACAGGCAGAAUAACACGCCUGGAGACGAGGAGGGGGAGACUACAACUCGCCGUGACGCAGAUGGUGCUCCAAUGGUGAUCCCUCUUCAGCGCUCACCAUGACAACGAGACUCACUGCAGUGACGUGUCUUGUAAAAAUUUAAAAGCUGGUCGGUUCUCUCUCAGCGUUGUUAGUUCGCUCGGUGAUGCUGUUUGUACUUGACCAAGGUGAGUUCAAUACCGACGGCACGAGUGGAGCCACGCCAACCUCACGAAGUCCACUUCGUGAAGCUUCACUCGGGCAUGUCUAUGCUGUAGCUCCUUGCGGUUUGCAUAGAUAAACGCAAUAUCACGAAGAACAUUACGUGUUUGUUGCUCGAAAUGUGCCGCCGAGCAACAUCCAGUGAACGCUGGCACGGCCUGGCGGCCGGUUUACUCGUGCACUCCCUAGGGCAGGGGUCACCAAUCCUGGUCCUAGAGGGCCGGUGUCCCUGCAGGCUUUAGCUCCAACUUGC